GGACUACCGGGGUAUCUAAUCCUGUUCGCUCCCCACGCUUUCGCUCUACAGCGUCAGUGCCGGCCCAGACCACCGCCUUCGCCACCGGUGUUCCUCCUGAUAUCUGCGCAUUUCACCGCUACACCAGGAAUUCCGUGGUCCCCUACCGGACUCUAGUCACAGCAGUAUCGAGUGGCGUCUCCAGGUUGAGCCUGGAGGUUUCACACCCGACUUACCGAACCGCCUUAAAGCGCUUUACGCCCAAUGAAUCCGGACAACGCUCGCCCCCUACGUAUUACCGCGGCGGCUGGCAC
Molecule: ribosomal RNA, 293 nt
Filed under: uncultured bacterium
Lineage: Bacteria
Description: partial 16S ribosomal RNA
Source: RNAcentral